AUUGAACGCUGGCGGCGUGCCUUACACAUGCAAGUCGAACGGUAACAGGUUAAGCUGACGAGUGGCGAACGGGUGAGUAAUGUAUCGGAACGUGCCCAGUCGUGGGGGAUAACUGCUCGAAAGAGCAGCUAAUACCGCAUACGACCUGAGGGUGAAAGCGGGGGAUCGCAAGACCUCGCGCGAUUGGAGCGGCCGAUAUCAGAUUAGGUAGUUGGUGAGGUAAAGGCUCACCAAGCCGACGAUCUGUAGCUGGUCUGAGAGGACGACCAGCCACACUGGGACUGAGACACGGCCCAGACUCCUACGGGAGGCAGCAGUGGGGAAUUUUGGACAAUGGGCGCAAGCCUGAUCCAGCCAUGCCGCGUGCGGGAAGAAGGCCUUCGGGUUGUAAACCGCUUUUGUCAGGGAAGAAAAGGUUCUGGCUAAUACCUGGGACUCAUGACGGUACCUGAAGAAUAAGCACCGGCUAACUACGUGCCAGCAGCCGCGGUAA
Molecule: ribosomal RNA, 493 nt
Filed under: uncultured bacterium
Lineage: Bacteria
Description: partial 16S ribosomal RNA
Rfam family: Bacterial small subunit ribosomal RNA
Source: RNAcentral